RNAcentral lists this ribosomal RNA (508 nucleotides) under uncultured bacterium. Its description in RNAcentral is "partial 16S ribosomal RNA". The record is from RNAcentral.
GGAGUUAGCCGGUGCUUCUUCUGUGAGUGAUGUCCUUCCUGCCGGUUAUUGACCCGCAGGCCUUCUUCCUCACUGAAAGUGCUUUACAACCCGAAGGCCUUCUUCACACACGCGGCAUGGCUGGAUCAGGGUUGCCCCCAUUGUCCAAUAUUCCCCACUGCUGCCUCCCGUAGGAGUCUGGGCCGUGUCUCAGUCCCAGUGUGGCUGAUCAUCCUCUCAGACCAGCUACGGAUCGUCGCCUUGGUGAGCCGUUACCUCACCAACCAGCUAAUCCGACAUAGGCUCAUCCGAUAGCGCGAGGCCCGAAGGUCCCCCGCUUUCCCCCGUAGGGCGUAUGCGGUAUUAGCCUGGGUUUCCCCAGGUUAUCCCCCACUACCGGGCAGAUUCCUAUGCAUUACUCACCCGUCCGCCGCUCGCCACCAGGGAGCAAGCUCCCCGUGCUGCCGCUCGACUUGCAUGUGUUAGGCUGCCGCCAGCGUUCAUCUGAGCCAGAAUACGAACCCUACGA